GCACUCCUACCUCAAUUGGUUAGAGGACCCGGUUGAUAACCGGGCUGUUCGUGGUUCGAUUCCACGGGAGUGCACCA
This 77-nucleotide transfer RNA is filed under the name uncultured archaeon. RNAcentral's name for it is "tRNA-Ile(gat)". It matches the Rfam family "tRNA". Rfam says of the family: Transfer RNA (tRNA) molecules are approximately 80 nucleotides in length. Their secondary structure includes four short double-helical elements and three loops (D, anti-codon, and T loops). The record is from RNAcentral.